RNAcentral lists this unclassified non-coding RNA (321 nucleotides) under plant metagenome. RNAcentral describes it as "partial contains 5.8S ribosomal RNA, internal transcribed spacer 2, and large subunit ribosomal RNA". The stretch from base 1 to 106 matches the Rfam family "5.8S ribosomal RNA", at positions 49 to 154 of the family's 154-position model. The record is from RNAcentral.
CGAAAUGCGAUAAGUAAUGUGAAUUGCAGAAUUCAGUGAAUCAUCGAAUCUUUGAACGCACAUUGCGCCCGCCAGUAUUCUGGCGGGCAUGUCUGUUCGAGCGUCAUUACAACCCUCAGGCCCCCGGGCCUGGCGUUGGGGAUCGGCGGAAGCCCCCUGCGGGCACAACGCCGUCCCCCAAAUACAGUGGCGGUCCCGCCGCAGCUUCCAUUGCGUAGUAGCUAACACCUCGCAACUGGAGAGCGGCGCGGCCACGCCGUAAAACACCCAACUUCUGAAUGUUGACCUCGAAUCAGGUAGGAAUACCCGCUGAACUUAAGC